AAAGCUUUAAGUUAAAAAAACUUUUAACCUUCAAAGUUAACAAUAAAAUAAAUUUUUUAAGCUUUA
Molecule: transfer RNA, 66 nt
Filed under: Culicoides wadai
Lineage: Eukaryota; Metazoa; Arthropoda; Insecta; Diptera; Ceratopogonidae
Description: tRNA-Trp
Source: RNAcentral